RNAcentral lists this long non-coding RNA (548 nucleotides) under Manihot esculenta (cassava). RNAcentral's name for it is "long non-coding RNA (MESC_LNC010981)". The record is from RNAcentral. Lineage: Eukaryota; Viridiplantae; Streptophyta; Magnoliopsida; Malpighiales; Euphorbiaceae.
GCUAUAGAGCUCAUUCCACUCCCUUAACCCCAGUUUUGCAGGUUCAGUGUACAGUGUACAGGGACAGUCCAGCAGAGUACAGGAAAAGUAAAGAGAUCUGUAAUAGCUUAGAAUGGACAUGUAAUAUUAAAGAGAUGUAAUAGUUGUUGCUUGACCUAGUGAUGUAUGUUAUACAUGAUCUGUAUAUGUAUAUAUGUUUUCCUGUAUGUGAAAACCAGGCUUAACAGGUAUGAGUUAACCCAUCUAGAGCAAGCUCUAGUCAGGGAUACAGAGUACAGAGUACAUGAGUACAGAGUACAGAGAUAGUGCAUGCACAGGUUAAGCCUUGGUUCAGAAAAGAGUUUUAUUUUCAUAGAAAAUGUAUGAUCAUGUAUGAGGUUUACAGGUACACAGAGAGUAUAGCAGGCUUGCUACGGGUUCUGGCGGCCUUAAGCCGACCUGAAUCCUAGCGCCGGUGACGGUCCAUUUUGGGGUCGUUACAGAUUGGUAUCAGAGCCCUAGGUUCAUAUGAUCGGACCUAUAGAGACAGUGUUGGGCUCAGACAGGUU